RNAcentral lists this long non-coding RNA (257 nucleotides) under Populus tremula. RNAcentral's name for it is "long non-coding RNA (PTRE_LNC001851)". Lineage: Eukaryota; Viridiplantae; Streptophyta; Magnoliopsida; Malpighiales; Salicaceae. The record is from RNAcentral.
GAGCCCCAGAAAGGCAAGCAGUGUAGAUCAAACUCUAAUCUCUGAGAUUAGAAAAUCUGUGAUCAGGAACCAAUGGAAGCGCAGACAAAAGACACGUCCUAGAUUUUUCUCUCGGACCUCACCCUCAAAACAGAGAAACGGCCACGCGGUUGGUGGAGACGGGCGCCACACGGUGUCACAGUCACCCCAAUAUACACCCUGCUCUGGCAAAAAGACAGCCCAUACAAGAGGAAUCUAGAAUACACCCUUGAUUUGAC